RNAcentral lists this transfer RNA (72 nucleotides) under Caudoviricetes sp. RNAcentral's name for it is "tRNA-Gln". It matches the Rfam family "tRNA". Rfam says of the family: Transfer RNA (tRNA) molecules are approximately 80 nucleotides in length. Their secondary structure includes four short double-helical elements and three loops (D, anti-codon, and T loops). Further hydrogen bonds mediate the characteristic L-shaped molecular structure. tRNAs have two regions of fundamental functional importance: the anti-codon, which is responsible for specific mRNA codon recognition, and the 3' end, to which the tRNAs corresponding amino acid is attached (by aminoacyl-tRNA synthetases). tRNAs cope with the degeneracy of the genetic code in two manners: having more than one tRNA (with a specific anti-codon) for a particular amino acid; and 'wobble' base-pairing, i.e. permitting non-standard base-pairing at the 3rd anti-codon position. Lineage: Duplodnaviria; Heunggongvirae; Uroviricota; Caudoviricetes. The record is from RNAcentral.
AGGGAUAUUGCCAAGCGGUAAGGCAAUGGAAUUUGACUCCAUGAUUCACAGGUUCGAAUCCUGUUAUCCCUG